AUCUACGGCCAUGCCACCCUGAACAAGCCUGAUCCCAUCUGAUCUUGGAAGCUAAGCAGGGUCGGUCCCGGUUAGUACUUAGAUGGGAGACCACCUAGGAAGACCAGGUGCUGUAGGCG
RNAcentral lists this ribosomal RNA (119 nucleotides) under Pteropus alecto (black flying fox). The record is from RNAcentral. Lineage: Eukaryota; Metazoa; Chordata; Mammalia; Chiroptera; Pteropodidae.